Molecule: ribosomal RNA, 393 nt
Filed under: uncultured bacterium
Lineage: Bacteria
Description: partial 16S ribosomal RNA
Rfam family: Bacterial small subunit ribosomal RNA
Source: RNAcentral
AUACGGAGGAUCCGAGCGUUAUCCGGAUUUAUUGGGUUUAAAGGGUGCGUAGGCGGGACUGUAAGUCAGGGGUGAAAUACUGCAGCUUAACUGUAGCAUUGCCUUUGAAACUGCCGUUCUCGAGUACAGUUGAGGUAGGCGGAAUGUGGUGUGUAGCGGUGAAAUGCAUAGAUAUACCACAGAACGCCGAUUGCGAAGGCAGCUUACUAAGCUGUUACUGACGCUGAGGCACGAAAGCGUGGGGAUCAAACAGGAUUAGAUUCCCUGGUAGUCCACGCUGUAAACGAUGAUUACUGGUUGUUAGCGAUAUAUAGCUAGUGACUGAGCGAAAGCAUUAAGUAAUCCACCUGGGGAGUACGUCGGCAACGAUGAAACUCAAAUGAAUUGGCGGGG